AUCUUGUGUUUGCUUCCCUGUCCCUAUUCAUUUACGUACUUAUCUUCACUAGUGAUCGAAGCAACCAAGCGAAUGUCACAAACCUGACACUUUCUGUUGUACCAAAGUCCUCGUUGAUUUUGUGCAUCAACAAUUUGUUUGAUUGUUUUUUUGUGAGUCUAUGUUUGAAACAUUGAAGACAAUGUUUGAUUUAAGUGUGGGGGGGGGGGGUAAACAAAGUGCUUUUCAUUGAAUUUCAUUGGUUUUUAUCACCUAUCCCCUCUAGAGUUGUUUCUCAUUGUUUUAAAGUGUUUUUAGUGUGUUUUGAAGUGUUUUAGUGUGUUUAGAAAGAAAAAUACAAAAAUUUGAAAAAAUUCGAAAAAGUUUUGAAAAACAAACCAAAAAGAGUCGUUUUUGUGUGUUUGUGUCUUAGGGUACCUUCCAACACAAUGAUGAGGAUUUGGUUUUUAAUUGCAUGACUGUUAAAGAAAGUUACAAACAUGGGAGGAAGUUUGAUAUGCCUUUGGUUUAUGCUUGGUUGUAGUUGACGCUUACGAAUUCACAUGUAAUCACAAAGGAAAAAAUCAGUUUUUGUAACAUGCUUGAAGGAAGAAGCUCAAACAAACGCUACAUCCUUGAGAGACUUGAGCCUAAACCUUGUUUGAAGAGUUAUUAAUCUGUGAUUUCUUGUUUUCUAAAGUCUUUGCAUGAUCUCAUUAUUCUUUGCUUGGUUGCUACUUAGAAUUCGUUUUCAUCAUUAUAGUUCCAAAUACUAGAACUCAUGCCUGUUUCAUUCAAAGCUUAAAAUUGAGUGCAUAACAUAUAACAAGAUGAAGUUGUUUAGUAGUUACCACCAAAGCCAAAAAGCCUUCAUCCCAUGCAUUAGUUUUGUAGGUUUAACCCCUUUGAGCCUUAUUGAACCUAUUUUCUUUGUUAGCCACAUUAUCCCUACCUAGCCUAGAAUAGGACUAUCCAUACCCUUGUUCUUGAAGUAUAGUGGAGCAUGACUUAGAAGGAAUUCCUUUUGAACGACAUUAUUGCAGAAAACAAGUGUGGGGGAAGGGUUUUCAAAGUGUGUAUUUUGUGUGCCAAAGAAAUAGCACACGGUUUGAAAAGAAAAAAAAACGUAGAAAAAGAAAAAGAAAAGAAAAAAUGUGUAGAAAAGAAAGGAAAAGAGUUGAAAAUAAGUGAGAAUUAACUCACAAGUGUUGAUUAUUGAAGAAAGGAUCCAAAAGUUUGAAUUCGGUCCUAAGUGUUUUGUGAAUCUUCCCUUUGUGUUUAAAGUGGAUUCUUGCAUUCAAAAGUGAAUUCAAAGUGUCAAUUUCAUUACUUUCCUUACUAUUGCUUUAAGAAUGUUUGUUUAUGUUUACCUUUCUUUAUUAGCCAAUACCCUUGCCCCGUUACAACCCUUAGAAUUCUAUCUUAGGUGUUAUGUGUUUCAAUCUAUGGAGUUUGAAAUUGGUAUGCACAUAUGGAAUCCCUGGUUCUCGCUUCUAAGUAGUAGCAUUCCGUUCAUGAGAUCAUAUAUAUAUACAUGCAUUAAUAAUUCCAGAAAUUGCCUUCUUUGUUUAAAACAUAUGUGAGUACUAGUCUACAUGUUUACAUCAAUCUUCUCACAUAUACCUAGUAUAGGGAGUGUAGUCAGAAAAUCUGUGUGAAAAUAGAGAGUAAAUCCGGAGAGGAAUUGAGUGAAUUCUCUAAGGCAUGUUACUACAAUCAAAAUGUUGUUUUAAUUGAUUAAAUGAGAGCUAGUAAGUGGUUACUAUGAUUAAGUGUGUGCUCGAGGGUAAAGAUUACUAAAAUCUAUGUAAGUGGUGAUCUUUGGCAUGUCAUGUUUCAUUGGAAAUCCCUGAGGCAAAUGUUUGAAGGUCUAGGUUAUGUUUUGUUUGUUUUGUUUGGCUCGAGAACUAGCAAAAGCUAAGUGUGGGGGAAUUUGAUAGGCGCAUAUUUAUGCGACUUAGUUAGCUUGUUUUCUUGCAUUUAUGUUAUUAGUUCAUAGUUAUUUUAGUAUUUUAAGCUAUUUUCAUGUGUUUGUAGGUCCAAAUGGCUAAAGUAGCAAGAAAGUGCAUUUUGGUGCAUUGUGGAGCAGUUUUGGGCUUGGAAUGAUA
Molecule: long non-coding RNA, 2087 nt
Filed under: Malus domestica (apple)
Lineage: Eukaryota; Viridiplantae; Streptophyta; Magnoliopsida; Rosales; Rosaceae
Description: long non-coding RNA (MDOM_LNC016811)
Source: RNAcentral